Apis laboriosa (Himalayan honeybee) is the source of this 1733-nucleotide long non-coding RNA. RefSeq lists it as uncharacterized. Lineage: Eukaryota; Metazoa; Arthropoda; Insecta; Hymenoptera; Apidae. The record is from RefSeq and is a predicted model, not a curated record. The transcript has 4 exons.
GAUAAAAGGGAUAGGUAGACGGGAGGAGAAUGGUACCACUGGUAUGUAACGUCGAUCACGCGAGAGUUACUACUGCAACAUGCUGCAUUCCACUGAUGCUUUACUCGUCUGCUCGAGCACGUUUAUGAAUUAAUUAGAUAAUAACUAGCGACAAUUAACGUUGAAGGCACGAUACAUGAAAACACCAUCUGCUUUUGAUCUCCGCACAAAAAUUAACUGACAGGAACAAUCAGAUAAUAUUGUUUUAUGAAAAAAAAUCAAUACGUUUAAAUAAGAAUUUUUUUGUCUCAAUUUGAAUUUGAUUAAUUGAAUUCGAAAGUUAUAGGUAGGUAUCAAACUUUCUUUUUUGUAUUUUCGAUAGUAUUUUCAUGAAAAUGAUAUAGAUAUAUACGUACAGGCGUAAACAAAAUUCAUAAUUUAUAGUAAUCAUAAGAACAUCUGGUUCUCGUCUUCUUAGAAAUAUCAGCGGCAACAGUGCUUUAAAAAUGACUCAGAAACCAUAAACAAGAACUACAUCAUGAUAUUUUCUUGAUUUGUAACAGAUCAUUGUUUACGACGAUGUUAGUCUCUUCUUCAUUGUCCCAGUUUGCUUAGGACCGCGAGAUAUCAGGAGUUGUGAUAAAAGCAUGAAUAUAAUCAGGAAAGGAAGAGCAACAUUCUCCCUACUUCGAUGAAUCACAUUGUGUAUUCCUACUUACAAUUUAAUAUUUAUCGGUCGAAUAGUCGAAGGAUAAGGGAAAUACUCGACAUCGAUACAGAAUGAUAACGAAUUCAACAAACACUUAAAAGAUAAGAUGUUCUCGCGUAAUACAUCUUAAUCCAUGGCUCGACAUCAAUCCAUAAACUGGCACGUGAUAUAGUCUACGAGGCGACAUCACGCGAUAUUGGUGUUCUAUUUAAAUAAAGAUGAAUACACCCUCACAGUAAAUGAAAAAACGAAUAAGGAGGGAAAAAGAGAUGGCCGUACUUGUGCCACCUGAGUGGACAGUGUCCAGCUGUGAAACGAGAAAGAAGCGAUAUGAAAAUGCGCGCUGCUCAACCACCGGCUGACUUAUCGCAUCGCAGUCGGUUGAGUCCAUCCAAUUCCCCACUCUAUGAAAUCCAUCUCACUUCAUUUCCCUUGCCAACUCUUCUUCAUGUAUUCCAUCGUUUCGAUUUGCUCAUGUUUCUCUCUUUGUUUUACGAUUUCUCUUUCUAUAUUCUUAUCCUUUUCUUCUUCUCUUUGUUACACACAAAAUCAACCGUCUUCCUUCUGCUACAGAUUUCUACGCAGACAUCAUUCACGCAAUGCAAUAUCGUGCGCGCGGAAAUAAAAUGCGCGGCUACUGAUCUAUCGAUAAGUACAAAGUUCUAACUGUGUAUACACCCAGAUAUUUCAAAUAUGCACAAGAUAUCACUGUUGGAUGAAGAUCUUUCAAACAUUGGACGUGACACAAGCAAGAUGAUACCAACAAAUAUAUGCAAUUUAAUAAAUAAGAGAAUAAUCAAGGAAGAAAAAAAAGUUUCAUCAUGAAGGGAAUUCUAACGCAGAUACGCGAAUACAUUUCUGUUUUAUGACGAAAAUAGAGUAACAAAUCAUAGUGUUUGAUUUACCUAUUUCACAUUUAACCAUUUCAAAUAUUACAAUUCAAUAAAAUUUUUCUUAUGAUGAUUUUUCCAUUAUUACACAUUACUAUGAAAAUAUAAACUGAAAUAUUAUGGAAGAAAAAUUAUAAAAAUUAAAAAUAAAAUUA